UGAGGAAUAUUGGUCAAUGGGCGAGAGCCUGAACCAGCCAAGUAGCGUGAAGGAUGAAGGCUCUAUGGGUCGUAAACUUCUUUUAUUAGGGAAUAAAGUGGAGAACGUGUUCUCCUUUGUAUGUACCUUUUGAAUAAGGAUCGGCUAACUCCGUGCCAGCAGCCGCGGUAAUACGGAGGAUGCGAGCGUUAUCCGGAUUUAUUGGGCGUAAAGGGAGCGCAGGUGGAUCGUAAAGUCUUGUUUAAAAGAGCGGGGCUCAACCCCGUUAGGGACAAGAAACUUAAGAUCUUGAGUGCAGGAGAGGGAAGCGGAAUUCCUAGUGUAGCGGUGAAAUGCGUAGAUAUUAGGAGGAACACCAGUGGCGAAGGCGGCUUACUGGACUGUAACUGACGCUGAGGCUCGAAAGCGUGGGGAGCAAACA
Molecule: ribosomal RNA, 421 nt
Filed under: uncultured bacterium
Lineage: Bacteria
Description: bacterial SSU rRNA
Rfam family: Bacterial small subunit ribosomal RNA
Source: RNAcentral